Eublepharis macularius is the source of this 2729-nucleotide long non-coding RNA. RefSeq lists it as uncharacterized. The record is from RefSeq and is a predicted model, not a curated record. The transcript has 4 exons. NCBI's taxonomy places the organism in Eukaryota, Metazoa, Chordata, Lepidosauria, Squamata, Eublepharidae.
CUCAUGGAGGGGAACACACAAAAGGGCUUUGUGACAGCUCUUCAAGCAUGAGGGGAAAUCUGUGGGAUGAAGAACCAGGAACGUGGUCACAGUCAUUUGAGGCCACUGGCAGGGGGAGGGGGGAGAAAAUAGGAGGAGUUUGUUUCAAAUUAGGCCUGCCUCCAUUGAGCCUGUGGUUCAUUCCCCCUGUAGCAUGCAACAAAGCAGCUUAGGUUUAGGUCAAUUUAAAAAGACAGGGAAUCGCUUCAGGUCUGUCACAUUUGGGGCUUUGAUGGUGUACUGUACACCAGUACUUUGAAGUGGACCUGGAAAGAAGUUGGCAGGCACUGGACCUCUUCAAGUCACUCACCAGCCUAAGGAGACUUCCUCCAACUUAAGCAGUUCUUCCGGCAGAGCAGCAAGACACCAGUGGCCAUUAUCACUGGGGGCAAUGCAGCAGAAGUUGGGCAUAUGUGAAUCCUCUUGAAACCAGGUAACCCAAAUGCUGUGCUGAUGUUGCCAUUAUAUAGCACCUAUAGCAUGUUCCUUCACAUACCUGGAUGUAAAGGCAAUCUGGCUGCAACUUCUGUCACCCAUUGAUUUCCAGCUUGAUUGGGCUGCUCUGGCCAGCUAGGCGGGUGUCCCCUUCCUCCCGCAUCAUUCCAUGUGUGUCUCUCCCAAAGCUGAAUGCUCGAUGGAAGAGCAUGACCAUCCCAGAUAGGAGUGUACUGUUCUUUGGUCAUGGGUAUAUGAUAGCUUCACAUACCUGGAAGGAUGACUUGUGUGUGUGCAGCACCAUGUGACAUAUACUAUAAAGGUUGGCAACCCUAACUAUGUAAUGGGAGUUACUUUCCUGCAGGUGCUUAGGAAUACAGACUUAGAUAGGCCUGAGUCUCCCUGAAUCAAUCCUCUAUUUUAUGUGUAUCUUUUUUAAAUUAAACUAGUUCGCUGUUUUUAUACUUGUGAGAAUGUCAAUGAUUGCAGGACUAGUUUGCAUGCAGCAAAUAAGAACAGUGAGAGAGCUUCUUCCUCCUGCCCAACCUGUGGAUCUAGGUGAAUCAUAUUGAUAACAAUUUCGCUUAAAAAGUUAAUCCUUUGCCAACUGUUUACAUCACCACACUCUUAAAUAGAUGGCAUCAUGCACCUUCUUUACUUACCCUCAUCCUAUUCUUGCAGAUAACUGAAGCCCAGAAAUACCAAGUCUACAAGCCUUUUUAAGGCACUACCUGUCCCUGUAGCCCUGAAUGGAUGAGUAAUGCUGGCUCCUGGCAUAUCUAAUAACUGCAUUCCUGCUGUAUGAGAUGGAAAACAUUUUUCUGUGAUGCACAAAGAACCCAGUGAACUUAGUUACUGGUAAACUGCAGCCUAGGCAAUGUGCUGAUCUGUCAUGGUUUGUGGCAAGAUGCCCAGCUAGGUAAUAAUGUGCCCAGCUGAGGCACCAAUGGAUUUAGGGAUCUAUUGAGAAGCAAACUUUGUCCCAGGGAAGGCCCAUUGUGGGCACAAACUGUGCACUUUGAUAGGAAACCUUCUGCACUGCAAACCAAUGGGGAAAGGAAAAUUUUCCUAGCCAAACUCAGGAAAUAAUUGUUGAAUUGCAAGGAAGGAUUUCAUUGGGCCACCCCAAACUGAUAUUUUUUAUUCUCUGGAACUGACAAGAAGGAAAUAAGAACAAGGGAAGGUCUUGCGCCCAAGUGGGAGAAUCUGAUAAUGGCAAAUCAGUCAGCCACAAGUUUAAAAAAGGGAAUGAUACAGAAGACAAAAACUGCUUUUAAAGACUGUGUUUUAAAGACUGGCCAGUCUCUUGUGCUAGGAGGUUUCAUUGGCAAAAGCUUACUUCAUCAUACCCUACACAACUUACAUAUAUUUUAAUUAGGCUCACAGGGAACAAUUUGCCUGUAAUUCAUGUUCAUCUCUAAGAUGCCACAGCUGCCCCCCCUUCCCCCUGUUGCUAUAGGUUUUUUUCAACUAGGUAUGGCUCUGAGCAUUAUUAGAAAACGAUGGUGAUGUAUCAAGUACUGUGCAGGAUUCACAGAGCUACUGACAAGAGUUUCUAUGCCUGUUUCAGGAUUCUCACUGUAUCCCAAUGCGCACCCUGAAACGCACUGCCAGAAAAUGAAUCCCGUGAAAAGGAGACCGACAGGUCCCCGGAACUCAUGUUAUGCUGUUAAGAAACAAACAAGGGGAAGAGGCAAAAAUUGCACCUUGCUUUCAGUGACAAUGUCGAACUGUCCUUAUAUGCACUGGAAAUGUACACCGUCAUAACUGCAGCAAAAAAGACAUGCUAAAGCACAGUCUUGAGACCUUCAAAACAUCACAAUGCUUCUUUAAGUGGUCCAUCCCCCAUUCCCAACUCUGUCAAGGAAGUUAGACUACUAAAGAAUGUAUGUGACUAAUCCAAAGUCACCCAGCAAGCUUCAUGACAAUCCUCUGAAGAGCAUUUGCUGAAACCUUCGUUGAUUGAAAGCUCUCCUUUUUGUCGGCCACUCUUAUGAUCUGAGAAAUAAUGUUUAUCAGUAUGAUCAUCCCAGAAAGAAGACCUUAGACUGAUUAUCAAGAACAAAUCCUGAUGUAGACAUCCUUCAAUCUUUUUUUAAGUGUUAUUUUUGCAACUGCUGGGUUUAAAUAAUCAAAGUAUCUUAGGGAAUAUCCAUAAGACCAGUUGUUCAAUCCAAAGAAAAUUAGAGACACGGCUUAACCUUCAAAAAGUAAUAUUUCAAAUGACCCUGAGAUCAGGAUGUAGGAUUUCCAGC